RNAcentral lists this ribosomal RNA (1345 nucleotides) under uncultured bacterium. RNAcentral describes it as "partial 16S ribosomal RNA". It matches the Rfam family "Bacterial small subunit ribosomal RNA", at positions 28 to 1381 of the family's 1533-position model. The record is from RNAcentral.
GACGAACGCUGGCGGCGUGCUUAACACAUGCAAGUCGAACGGAAAGGCCCUGCUUUUGUGGGGUGCUCGAGUGGCGAACGGGUGAGUAACACGUGAGUAACCUGCCCUUGACUUUGGGAUAACUUCAGGAAACUGGGGCUAAUACCGGAUAGGAGCUCCUGCUGCAUGGUGGGGGUUGGAAAGUUUCGGCGGUUGGGGAUGGACUCGCGGCUUAUCAGCUUGUUGGUGGGGUAGUGGCUUACCAAGGCUUUGACGGGUAGCCGGCCUGAGAGGGUGACCGGCCACAUUGGGACUGAGAUACGGCCCAGACUCCUACGGGAGGCAGCAGUGGGGAAUAUUGCACAAUGGGCGGAAGCCUGAUGCAGCAACGCCGCGUGCGGGAUGACGGCCUUCGGGUUGUAAACCGCUUUCGCCUGUGACGAAGCGUGAGUGACGGUAAUGGGUAAAGAAGCACCGGCUAACUACGUGCCAGCAGCCGCGGUGAUACGUAGGGUGCGAGCGUUGUCCGGAUUUAUUGGGCGUAAAGGGCUCGUAGGUGGUUGAUCGCGUCGGAAGUGUAAUCUUGGGGCUUAACCCUGAGCGUGCUUUCGAUACGGGUUGACUUGAGGAAGGUAGGGGAGAAUGGAAUUCCUGGUGGAGCGGUGGAAUGCGCAGAUAUCAGGAGAACACCAGUGGCGAAGGCGUUUCUCUGGCCCUUUCCUGACGCUGAGGAGCGAAAGCGUGGGGAGCGAACAGGCUUAGAUACCCUGGUAGUCCACGCUGUAAACGGUGGGUACUAGGUGUGGGGUCCAUUCCACGGGUUCCGUGCCGUAGCUAACGCUUUAAGUACCCCGCCUGGGGAGUACGGCCGCAAGGCUAAAACUCAAAGGAAUUGACGGGGCCCCGCACAAGCGGCGGAGCAUGCGGAUUAAUUCGAUGCAACGCGUAGGACCUUACCUGGGUUUGACAUGGAUCGGGAGUGCUCAGAGAUGGGUGUGCCUCUUUUGGGGUCGGUUCACAGGUGGUGCAUGGCUGUCGUCAGCUCGUGUCGUGAGAUGUUGGGUUAAGUCCCGCAACGAGCGCAACCCUUGUUCACUGUUGCCAGCACGUUAUGGUGGGGACUCAGUGGAGACCGCCGGGGUCAACUCGGAGGAAGGUGGGGAUGACGUCAAGUCAUCAUGCCCCUUAUGUCCAGGGCUUCACGCAUGCUACAAUGGCUGGUACAGAGAGUGGCGAGCCUGUGAGGGUGAGCGAAUCUCGGAAAGCCGGUCUCAGUUCGGAUUGGGGUCUGCAACUCGACCUCAUGAAGUCGGAGUCGCUAGUAAUCGCAGAUCAGCAACGCUGCGGUGAAUACGUUCCCGGGGCU